UAAGCAGAGGAUGACAACAAAGGGACGUAAUUCUGAACCAUGAGGAUACUCACUUUUGUCUGAUGCUU
Small nucleolar RNA from Liolophura sinensis, 68 nucleotides. RefSeq annotates it as small nucleolar RNA SNORD82. The record is from RefSeq and is a predicted model, not a curated record. The transcript has a single exon. Lineage: Eukaryota; Metazoa; Mollusca; Polyplacophora; Chitonida; Chitonidae.